GCUGAACCAACAAAGCAAAUCGUAUCCAGUGAUGCCCUCAUCCAGACCGAUAUUUGGCUCUGGCAGAGCACAAGUGAACCUGCUGCAGACCUCCAGACAAAGAGAAAGGUCUUUGAGAAGGUGAUGGCUGUGAGGCGCCUGAGAGAGGAGGAGAUGAUGCUUUGCAGGGAGAUGCGGCAUCACUGGACAGUGUUGCGAAUGCGAUCUGUGGUGUUGGGGACAAUUUCCUCAGACUCCUCCCUUGUUGGCAUGUCGGCGGAUGCACAGAAGGGACUCCAUAGCCUGGUUUUAAAAAAACAAAGUGAACUGAAAGCUGAAAUGCUCAAAGUAAAGGACAUGUACAAGAGAAUCCUCAGCUACCAACCACUCCUGGAAAUGGACUCGGAGGAGGAGGAAGACAUUCCAGACGAUGCCACUGAGAGUGAUUUGAGCACUUCUGAUGAAGACUGA
Long non-coding RNA from Pelmatolapia mariae (spotted tilapia), 450 nucleotides. RefSeq lists it as uncharacterized. Lineage: Eukaryota; Metazoa; Chordata; Actinopteri; Cichliformes; Cichlidae. The record is from RefSeq and is a predicted model, not a curated record. The transcript has 3 exons.